RNAcentral lists this ribosomal RNA (782 nucleotides) under uncultured bacterium. RNAcentral describes it as "bacterial SSU rRNA". It matches the Rfam family "Bacterial small subunit ribosomal RNA", at positions 8 to 796 of the family's 1533-position model. The record is from RNAcentral.
AGAGUUUGAUCCUGGCUCAGGACGAACGCUGGCGGCGGCUUAACACAUGCAAGUCGAACGGAAAGGCCCCUUUCGGGGGGGCUCGAGUGGCGAACGGGUGAGUAACACGUGGGUGAUCUGCCCUGCACUUCGGGAUAAGCUUGGGAAACUGGGUCUAAUACCGGAUAGGACCAUGGCAUGCAUGCGCUGUGGUGGAAAGUUUUUGCGGUGUGGGAUGGGCCCGCGGCCUAUCAGCUUGUUGGUGGGGUGAUGGCCUACCAAGGCGACGACGGGUAGCCGGCCUGAGAGGGUGUCCGGCCACACUGGGACUGAGAUACGGCCCAGACUCCUACGGGAGGCAGCAGUGGGGAAUAUUGCACAAUGGGCGCAAGCCUGAUGCAGCGACGCCGCGUGGGGGAUGACGGCCUUCGGGUUGUAAACCUCUUUCACCAUCGACGAAGGUCCGGGUGUUCUCGGGUUGACGGUAGGUGGAGAAGAAGCACCGGCCACUCGUCCAGCAGCCGCGGUAAUACGUAGGGUGCGAGCGUUGUCCGGAAUUACUGGGCGUAAAGAGCUCGUAGGUGGUUUGUCGCGUUGUUCGUGAAAUUCCCUGGCUUAACUGGGGGCGUGCGGGCGAUACGGGCAGACUGGAGUACUGCAGGGGAGACUGGAAUUCCUGGUGUAGCGGUGGAAUGCGCAGAUAUCAGGAGGAACACCGGUGGCGAAGGCGGGUCUCUGGGCAGUAACUGACGCUGAGGAGCGAAAGCGUGGGGAGCGAACAGGAUUAGAUACCCNNGUAGUCC